RNAcentral lists this ribosomal RNA (465 nucleotides) under uncultured bacterium. RNAcentral's name for it is "partial 16S ribosomal RNA". It matches the Rfam family "Bacterial small subunit ribosomal RNA", at positions 339 to 795 of the family's 1533-position model. The record is from RNAcentral.
CUACGGGAUGCUCCAGUGAGGGAUUUUGUGCAAUGGGGGGAACCCUGACGCAGCAAUGCCGCGUGAGUGAAGAAGGCUUUUGGGUCGUAAAGCUCUGUCGACAGGGAAGAAGUUAUUUUGUAUUAAUAGUAUGAGAUAUUGACGGUACCUGUAGAGGAAGCACCGGCUAACUCCGUGCCAGCAGCCGCGGUAAUACGGGGGGUGCAAGCGUUAUUCGGAACUAUUGGGCGUAAAGAGCGCGUAGGCGGAUUUGUCAGUCAGAUGUGAAAUUCCAGGGCUUAACCUUGGGCGUGCAUUUGAGACAGCAAGUCUUGAGUACGGUAGAGGGAAGUGGAAUUCCUGGUGUAGAGGUGAAAUUCGUAGAUAUCAGGAGGAACACCGAAGGCGAAGGCAGCUUCCUGGUCCGAUACUGACGCUGAAGUGCGAAGGCGUGGGUAGCAAACAGGAUUAGAUACCCGAGUAGUC